UACGUGGGGUGCAAGCGUUAAUCGGAAUUACUGGGCGUAAAGCGUGCGCAGGCGGUGAUGUAAGACAGGUGUGAAAUCCCCGGGCUUAACCUGGGAACUGCAUUUGUGACUGCAUCGCUGGAGUGCGGCAGAGGGGGAUGGAAUUCCGCGUGUAGCAGUGAAAUGCGUAGAUAUGCGGAGGAACACCGAUGGCGAAGGCAAUCCCCUGGGCCUGCACUGACGCUCAUGCACGAAAGCGUGGGGAGCAAACAGG
RNAcentral lists this ribosomal RNA (253 nucleotides) under uncultured bacterium. RNAcentral describes it as "partial 16S ribosomal RNA". It matches the Rfam family "Bacterial small subunit ribosomal RNA", at positions 524 to 776 of the family's 1533-position model. The record is from RNAcentral.